AGCAGCGCAGAAGUGACAUCACGCCGAAGUGCAAAUUCGGAGACGUACCCCUCAAAGGGUGCCAGGGCUUCUCCCGUUU
RNAcentral lists this transfer RNA (79 nucleotides) under Homopholis arnoldi. RNAcentral's name for it is "tRNA-Cys". Lineage: Eukaryota; Metazoa; Chordata; Lepidosauria; Squamata; Gekkonidae. The record is from RNAcentral.